GUCUGACACACCUUGAUAACAUCCAAGCACGGUAGCUCCAACUCCAAUGACAUUUCGGUUCUCGAAGAUCUAAUAGGUAUAACCUAUGCUAUUCAAGUUACAACCGUGCCGAUUGGCCGGCCACGGUGAUAUCGCUGGAGUGGGGGAACGGAGGACCUAUCCAAGGAAGCCGAUCAUAGAUGAAGGGUGACGAAGUUGUCUGCGGCACGCGCCUGUGCUUCCAGUACAACGAAGCCUCGAGCGCUGCUAUCUGAGAUAUCAGAUGCUCGAUAUAGUUGCUCUCCAUGGUCCUUGAGUUUAUGCAUUUCUAUGAAUCAGCACACUCCCCUUCCCAGAGGCACUUCACGUCGCCGUCAUUUAUUAGCCACCGACGUUGCUUUUUCCUCGGCCCUGCGCCUCUUCGUUCACACCUCUUGUAGUCGACCAAAGAAGAGAGGCUUGGCUUGACAAGGGCUUAAUGGCCUCUGUGAUUACCUGGCGAUGAGCUUUACACUUUUAAUCACCGCACUAGGUAUUAACACUUUUGCGAUGGAAAUGAUCGGGUGCUAGGUCGUUCGACACCUCUUGAAUACUAUAAAAGGGCCAUAUCAAGUUCAUCGUAUGUUCCAUCGUCCUAUCCAGUAGCCAUGGUCGCUUGCACAUGCUAAUUAGAGCUCCCCAUUAGGCGAGCCCCAAGAUGUGCCUUAGUCCCUUGUUUGCCAAGGAUCUAUCUUGCCCCACCGACGACCUUGAACCUGGAAUACUCGUUCCGGCUCUUUCGCUAAAUAAAUCAUACAUUCGAGCAAGGAGGCGGUACAAUUACGGUUGGAUGGAAACUACCAGCGAUCUCGAUCAUGAGAAAUCUCUUUCUUGGCCAUGUCAUUCCAUCCUCCUUUAGGACAUUAGGUUAUAAAAUGAUCGAUAGCUUGUGGGUGAGGAGGUUUGUGGGCUACAUAAAAACUUACUGCUGAACGCGUGGUCUGCACAAAAAAGGUGGUAAGAAUUAGAACGAAAGCGAGUAUUUAGGAUUUCGGCAUGGGCAUGCACUAUCAGACGACAGGCUUCUUCUC
Molecule: small RNA, 1049 nt
Filed under: Cryptococcus neoformans H99
Lineage: Eukaryota; Fungi; Basidiomycota; Tremellomycetes; Tremellales; Cryptococcaceae
Description: Cryptococcus neoformans var. grubii H99 hypothetical RNA
Source: RNAcentral